RNAcentral lists this ribosomal RNA (669 nucleotides) under Triticum aestivum (bread wheat). RNAcentral describes it as "partial small subunit ribosomal RNA". Lineage: Eukaryota; Viridiplantae; Streptophyta; Magnoliopsida; Poales; Poaceae. The record is from RNAcentral.
AUGACCUCUGCCAUUUUUGGCUCCAGGAGCAGCAAUCUUGGUCAGGAAGUGCUGAUAAAACUCAAGGCGGAUUACACGCUGGUGGAACAAUUGUAUACUGGUGCUCAACGUACAAUAGCCACCAUAUCACGAACCAAUCAAGCACCAUCCCUUCUCAGUGAUGUUCUAAGCAAACUUUCUGUCCUGCCCGCAAGGAUUGAAGAAAUAAAGCGGCCAGUUGCGAGAGCCGGUGCCAUUACGGCUUUAAGCCGGGCGAAGGCAUGGCAGGAAGAAUUAGACCCGGCCGAGCUAGCUACUAGCUUCCCCAGCUUCAAAGAGGACGGGUCUCCCUUUGAUAAGAAGGAUUUUGCUGCUUGUGUGAAAGAGAUGCGUCCAUUGGCAAGCCUUAUUGCUGAAGAAACAUAUCUGUCAAGGUAUCAGGCGACUUAUACAGCGGACAAUCAGAAAAUGCCAACACAGGCUUACGAAAUUGUGGACCUCAUCCCUCCAAUCCAUAAGCAUACUUUCGCCCCUGCAAUCGAUCCGUCUGAGCUUAUCGAUGACGAAGCUGAAUUUCAAGCCUUGACUGGCAUCAAUUGGUCAUCGCCUAACUUCCAGACGAUGGAUGAAGAAGAAGAACCCGUGCAGGAUGACCUGGAAGCCUCAAGUCUCCAAGACCAGGAAAAUUGA